UACGUAGGUGGCAAGCGUUGUCCGGAUUUACUGGGCGUAAAGAGCGCGCAGGCGGUCGUGCAAGUCGCGUGUGAAAGCCCCCGGCUCAACUGGGGAGGGUCACGCGAUACUGUUCGACUCGAAGGCAGGAGAGGGAAGUGGAAUUCCCGGUGUAGUGGUGAAAUGCGUAGAUAUCAGGAGGAACACCUAUUGCGAAGGCAGCUCGCUGGGACGUAACUGACGCUGAGACGCGAAAGCGUGGGGAGCAAACAGG
Molecule: ribosomal RNA, 253 nt
Filed under: uncultured bacterium
Lineage: Bacteria
Description: partial 16S ribosomal RNA
Rfam family: Bacterial small subunit ribosomal RNA
Source: RNAcentral